Molecule: ribosomal RNA, 506 nt
Filed under: uncultured bacterium
Lineage: Bacteria
Description: bacterial SSU rRNA
Rfam family: Bacterial small subunit ribosomal RNA
Source: RNAcentral
GCAAGUCGCACGGGCAGGGGCAACUCUGUCAGUGGCGGACGGGUGAGUAACGCGUAGGUAUCUAUCCUGAGGUGGGGGACAACCGUGGGAAACUACGGCUAAUACCGCAUGAUGCCUGAGGGCCAAAGGCGCAAGUCGCCUUGGGAGGAGCCUGCGUCCGGUUAGCUUGUUGGUGGGGUAACGGCCUACCAAGGCUCCGAUCGGUAGCUGGUCUGAGAGGAUGAUCAGCCACACUGGGACUGAGACACGGCCCAGACUCCUACGGGAGGCAGCAGUAGGGAAUAUUGGACAAUGGGCGAAAGCCUGAUCCAGCAAUGCCGCGUGGGUGAAGAAGGUCUUCGGAUUGUAAAGCCCUUUCGGCGGGGACGAUGAUGACGGUACCCGCAGAAGAAGCCCCGGCUAACUUCGUGCCAGCAGCCGCGGUAAUACGAAGGGGGCUAGCGUUGCUCGGAUUGACUGGGCGUAAAGGGCGCGUACGCGGCUUGUACAGUCAGACGUGAAAUUCC